AACAUCCACUGGGGAGAGAGUCACAGCGGUAGUGCUGGGGGCAGAGGUUGGUUACUCAGAGUAAUGGAAAUUAACCUGUGUCCCAAUUAAUUGCUGUUUAAUCUCUGAUUAAACAAUCAGUCACCCAGAAUUGGACAUGGAAGCAAAAUAUCUCCUGCAGGGAGAGUGGUAUGUUCAUUGCUUGGGGCAGAGGGGUGUAGGGAUGCAGACAGAAACCAGCUGGACAUGGGGGAGGAGUGAGGUGGGGUAGAGGAGAGGGGCAGGUAUUAAGGACGAAGGAUGGGGAAGAGGUCCAGGCACCAGGUGGGCAGGGAGGAGAGGGGCCAGCACCAGCAAGGAGAGGAUGAGUGGGGAAGAUGCCAGAGUCAGAGAGGGGUGAGGUUAGGGUUAGAAACCAGUGGACAGAGUGGGGGUGAGGGAGAUGCAGGCCCCAGGGAAUCUCUAUUGCUUUGGGGCUGUGUGGUGGGUUUGUUGCUAAAGGCAGGUCGGUGCCUCCCCCCACACACACUGGCCUGGAAGCCCUGCCCUAAGGGGCACAGCUGGGACUCUCCAUACUGGCUGUCCCCAUGGACACCGACUUCCAGCCAGGCAAACCCCACAGCCAGGCCCUUCUCCAGGGCAUGAGCAGUGUGUCUGGGUGGGACACGCUGGGCUGGGGGCAGGACUGGGUGAUGGGGAGUUUAAGUGGACACUGCAGGGAACAGAGACCAUCUGUAGCAAUCUGGACAGGGUAGCAGUCUCAGAUCACAUCUGCACAUCAAGUCUGCAUGGGGGUUUGAACAGGGGCAGCUACAUCGAUGCAAGAAAACCCUGUGCGGACAACCUGAGGACUUGUCUACACUAGAAAUGCUACAUUCUCCCAUUGGCACCAGUAACCCAACUCCCCAAGAUGUGGUUGCUAAGUCAACAGAAGAAUUCUUCCGUUGACUUUGUGCCAUCGACGCUGGAGGACAGGUCAGCUUAAGGUGUCACUCAGGGUGAGUCCCAGAGUGGACAAUGCUCAGAAAGCUCAUCUCAGAGCCCCAAAGCCAAACAGUUUUCUCCCUGGGCCAGGCCAGUUUGGCCUGCAAUGUCUAGAGUUUUCUCCCCAGGCUGGAGAGUAUUAAGGGACAUUGUAGGAGGAAGCAGUUGAAUGUCAUACGCAGAGGGGGGAUGAUCAGGGUCUCCCGGGCUUAGCUCUGGAGUCACAACCAGGCUCCAUAAUAACAAUCCCGCUUGCUCCUCCCCUGGGAUCUAGACACCCCGGCUUUGCCAGGACAGCAUGUGAGUACUCUCCAGGGAGAUCUCUGGCCCAUGGCGCUGACAUGCUGUCCACUGAGUCUGCAGGGCUCAUGCACUCCUCAAACACCUGCUGCAGGCUGGGGCUGCCCUGAUGCUCUCCACAGAGUUUACAGGCUCUGCAGGCCCCAGCGGGAAGAGGUUUCUCCAGGACCCUGAGCUCUGACAGCGUUUCUGCUCCUGGCCCAGCUUUCCCUGCCCUGCCGUACUGACAGGCUGCACCCACCGGGACAGCUGGGUCUGGCCCUCACAGCAGGUGCAGGGACAUUGUCUGUGUCCACAUUCCCUUCCCCCCAUUCCUGGGACAGGUAACACCAGCCCCAGGACCCCUCCCUUCACCCCCAGAGCAGGGGGGAGAGAGCCCUCGGCCUCCUGGGCAGUGGGACUGCCCAGAACAGAUUCGUUAGUCUGUGAAAGUGUCUCCACCCGGAGAGCUCUGUGCACCCAGCGACCCCUGGAAUCAGGGGCCGGGGCUGGAACUCAUCCCCUCCCACUCUGGGAGGAAAGGGGGCCUUGGGCCACCCAUGCUGCUAUCGGCCUGUAUAUAGACAGCUCAACAGGUGACAGAGCCAGUGCCCUGAGCUGUCAGAGCGUCACUGAUGGGGAAGGAGCAUUGUGGGGUAGUGCUGGGGGCUCUGUGUACUGCUGGGGCUCUUAUGCCAGUGAUCUUGGUGCAGACUGGCUCGGUGCAGGGCUCCACAGCGAUCAGCCUUGCUCCAGUCCAGUCUGACCCACAGUGGCUGUGACGUCUCUGCACUGCUGGGAGCAUGUGUGGGGGGGUGAGGGUUGGGACAGGACAGAUUUCCCAGCUGCAGACAAGCAGGGUGAGGAGGCCAGUGGCCCUGCAGAGCCUGCUCCAUUCCUGAGAGCCCCAGAGCGUGUCCCUCAAGAAAGCUGCAUUGGGUUCAUUUAAAUUGCUUUAAAAAUGCUGCAGAGACGGCGGUGCAAACCUGUGUGACUCUCCAGCUGUGUGGAUGCGGCUGAUCGGGUUUAGCUUCACAUUGGUCAGGAACCGAUCUGAGCUGAAGCAAGCUCAGCCUCUGCCAGAGCAAAAUCCAGGAGUCUGGGCACAAACUGGAACCCGUUUAACUGACCUGCUCCUGGCAAUUCCCAUGAACAAGGCAGAGGAGACAGGCUCAGGGAGGAUGGGGACUCAUUUCUCCAGGGCUGCGCUGGAGUCAUGCUGCUGCUCUCACCCCUUCCUGUGUCAUCCUUGCACAGGAGUAGGCUCCAGGGUCUGUUGUUAUUGCUCCUCCUCCUCCCCCCCUGGGGGUGUAAACCCUCCCAACCAGCUGUCUCAUCUCCCAGGUCUGGGGCACAAGGAAUGGUGCCAGGAGGGGCUGUAGGGAGUGAAUUUCUCCCUGGGGAGGGUGCUGGAGUCACCAAUACAAGCUCAACUUCAGUUACCUGCGAAUCCUCGGGCUCUUCUGAGUCCUGGAACAAGCAGCAGAGAGAGAGAGAGAGAGAGAGCAGCUGCACGUGUGUGUAGUUGUGAUGUUUAUGACAAAUGUACAUUGUAACUGAACAACCCAGUCUGACAAUUUAAGUUUAUUUUGUUAAGAUAAAUAUUUGGGAUUUCUUGAAAUUCCACAGUUGAAAUAAAAAUGACAUUAUUUAGAGAAGUUAAACUUCACUAUAGAUUUGAGGGGAAAAUUAAAAAAAAUGUCAAUAAUUCCAUUCUACAAAUAUAUUUAGAUGCUUGUUUUUUGAAAUACUGUUGAAAUGUAAAUUAAAAUAUUCUUGUAUUUACACCUUGUUACAAUAAUAUUUUCUAAAUUAAAAUAUUUUUUCUUUCAUAUUUUACACUGAGAUUUCACAGGGGUAGAAAAUUCUGACCGGAGUGAAUGACCCCAUCCCUCACCAUCUGCUACCCCUGGGGCAGGGGAUGGGGGAGGUGGGGGCUGGGGGUUCCCAGGUGUCUGGUUGUCAACUGGAACCUCCAGUUGAAAAGGGAAACUGGCAGCGUCCGGUCAGCACAGAAAGUCCAGUUGCUGCAGUAACUGGCCCCCACCACGGGGCUGGGAAGAGCAGCAGGGCUGGGAGGGGCCAGUCUGUGCGGCGGGGUCACUGUCAGGGGCCGAGAUUCCCUCCGGCCUGAGCUGGGACCGGGCAGAUUAUCAGGGGAGCCGCGUUUCUACCCCCAGCGUUGAGACCAGGACAGAAAUAAGGGCGGAGCUUCCCGGAGAAGGUGCCAGUGAAAGUGAAGAGAUGGGACCUGUCAGUCACAUUGUAAAACGAGACCUCGCCCGCCUCAUAGUCCA
Chelonoidis abingdonii (Abingdon island giant tortoise) is the source of this 3539-nucleotide non-coding RNA. The record is from RefSeq and is a predicted model, not a curated record. Lineage: Eukaryota; Metazoa; Chordata; Testudines; Testudinidae.